UCAUGCUCCCGGGCAGCCCCAAGCAAUGGCCACCAUAGUAGCUAAGGAGACUGGAUCCCAGCAAGAACCUGGAGCCAUGGGGAGAAGAUGGAAGGGAAAAUCUGUCUUCAUGCUCCGGGGAGAGGCACAGGGGAAAGGGAGCAGAGAACUUCCAUGGCCUGGAGCCAGAGAAAACUUAGGAGUGUCCAGGAAGUGGCUGUGGCAUACUGACACCAGGAGAGGACAUCCUGAUGCCCAGGAGGACUGGGGCACAUGAGACAGCAGAGCCUAGGGACUCUGCCGGGUAUUGGCUGCCACUGGGGAGACAUCUUCCAGGGAAGAGUGACCAAAGGCUUUCAGAACAGAUGGUUUCAUAUUGAAUGUGAAGCUGUUUGCCAGAUUCACAGCAAAUCCCCAACCAUCAUCCACUGAUCCUGACUGAAGCCUGCUGCACGGGUAACAGAUAUCAGUGAAGUGUCUGCUCUAUGCCAGACAGUGCCGGGCACUCAGGACCCUCGACAGUCUGAUGGGGGAGAAUGAGGACGUAAGCUCCGUGACCGCAGGAACUUGUCUGAAUUCUUCCCCAGUGACCCCUAGAGCCCAGCAAAUUGUAA
This is a long non-coding RNA of Lemur catta (Ring-tailed lemur), 593 nucleotides long. RefSeq lists it as uncharacterized. The record is from RefSeq and is a predicted model, not a curated record. NCBI's taxonomy places the organism in Eukaryota, Metazoa, Chordata, Mammalia, Primates, Lemuridae. The transcript is spliced from 3 exons.